Molecule: long non-coding RNA, 790 nt
Organism: Carya illinoinensis
Lineage: Eukaryota; Viridiplantae; Streptophyta; Magnoliopsida; Fagales; Juglandaceae
Exons: 4
Source: RefSeq, a predicted model, not a curated record
CUCUCUCUCUCUCUCUCUCUCUCUCUCUCUCUCUCUCUCUCGCUCGCUCGCUUGGAUUCAAGAGCAACAUUUCUCUGUCACUAUACGUCACAGAGUCCACAAUUUCUUUCCCUUUUCUCUUUGAUUUUCUUUCCGUUGGCUACCAAAAAAAUCUGAGAGCAACAUUUCGCACGAAAGCAAGCCACUCCAGUCAUUACCCGUCGACGCAGUACCAUUCAAGCCAUCUGGAUGUUAGGAAAGGUGUUUUGUUCAUUGAUUUUCCACCUGUCCUCCAACUACUGCUAAAAAGAUUUGAGUAUGACUUUAUGCGAGAUACCAUGGUAAAGAUAAAUGACCAAUAUGAGUUCCUGUUGCAACUUGAUCUCGAUAGAGAGAAUGGAAAAUACCUAUCGCCUGAUGCAGGCAGGAAUGUUCGCAACCUUUACACUCUUCACAGGUGGAUGGCUAUGUUAAGAUAUUCCCGAAAGUUGCACAUGGUUGGAUGGUUAGAUAUGAUGUAAAAGACAAGCCAGCUGUGAAGCCUGCCGAGGAGGCCCAUCAGAACCUGUUGGUGUGGUUUGCUAAGAAUGUUAAGUGAGAAUUGGGGAGUCAGUUUCUCUUUUGUUCAGUCUUGGUUUCAUAUUAUUAUGAGACAAGAGUGUUGUCUUAGACAGAAUCAUGGCAUUUCCAGAUGGUUGGGACUACCUAUUAUUGAGUCUGUAUUACUAGUAACGUCUGAAUUCCAACAAAAUGAAUAAUGGGUAUUAGUUUAUAAUUCUUUAUCCAAAAGCAUGGCUGUUUGAAAGCAAAA